AUGGGGAAAAUUAAACAUUGUAACACAGCUGAAGUGCCUCCAAAGAGGAUUCGUUCCCUAACAUGUAUUUUACAUGUCUCAACUCUUUCUGAGUAUGGUAAUUUUACCACACUCAACACAUGCAGGGGGGGGCCAAGCGAGAAGCUAUCAUAUCUACACAGUAUACGAGAUAUGAGACUCUGUGAAGACGUCAGUUCACCAUACCACAUGAGGGAUAUUUGUGAACAGAUUCCAUUGACAUUAGAGGACUUGUCUUUGGAUACAACUGGCUAUCACCAAUACUGCUAUAAAAGCUUUACAGGGAAAAUAGAUCGUUUACAAGUGUCAAAGGCUUCUACAUCUGGUGAAUCAUUAUCAUUGAAAAGGGACUCUCUGCGCCAUGUCAAAUCUCUGUCAGUUCAAUCUGAAGGAGCUCCAAGAAGGUGUUCCUUCUUGUUUCCCAAUCAGUGCAUUUUCUGUGACAAAGCAAAAUCCAAGUUCAAGGGCAAGACUGAAGAGCUUACAAAGUUUCAGAGUUGGAAACACAAGGAACCAGCCUGGAAAGUUAUUGAACCUAGGGCACAGGAAUUAAAGAAAGAGGCUCUUUAUCGCAAGGUGCAGGGCAAGGACCUUUUUGCAAUGGAAGCUAAGUAUCAUCCAUCAUGCAGAAACAACUUCAACACAGAGUACCAAACCCAUGAGCGUGGAAAGGAGAGAGUAGAAAAGGCAGCAGACAACAUUGACAGCCUGCAGGCCCAGAAGAUAGCAGCACAUAACAAGUCAUAUUGUGUGGUAAAGGAUUACAUUCUUAGGAAUGUGAUUGAAUGCAAAGAGGUAGUCCAGCUAAGAUCCAUGUGCAACUUGUACAUGAAGACAUUGGAAAAUCAAGGUUUUCCUAAUCCUGAAUACCGCAGUGAGAAAUUGGCAAGACGGUUACAAGGAGACAAAGACAUCUCUCAUGAACUCACACUCUCCAAGGUGCAACAACAUGGGUGUAUUAAGUCGAACCUCAUAUACAGCUCUAGCAUUACUGUAGAUGAAGCAGUUGGAUGUGCGUACAAACUUGAAACAGCUGACCAACUUCAAGAAGCAGCACUCACCCUCCAUUCUCACAUUAUAAAGGCAUUCAAAGAGUCAAAGGAUCUACCAUGGCCCCCGACAGCACAGGAGCUAGAUGCUGUGAAGAUGGACGUGCUUCUUCCAGAGUAA
Molecule: long non-coding RNA, 1188 nt
Organism: Cyprinus carpio (common carp)
Lineage: Eukaryota; Metazoa; Chordata; Actinopteri; Cypriniformes; Cyprinidae
Source: Ensembl